AUGGUCGGGCUCUCUCUCCGCCGCACGCGCUGCUCCCCGCAGCCGGCCAGGUGCUCUCCAGCCGGUGAGACCGCCGCAGCCUCUCUCCCCCCACCGGCCUGUCCACCGCCGACCCCACUCCACACAGCCGCCGGUGGAACCCUACUCCAUACUGCCGCCGCCUCCACUGGCAGGAGCUUUCUCCGCUGCCCCCUCCGUCUGCAGAUGGUCUUGCCGUUGCCGUCCAAACCCUACCGGCGGUUGCCCUUUUUGUCCGUGCCCAAGCUUAUCUAUCUCCUGGAGGUGCCGCCGGCAAGAAGAUCUUACAACUUUUUGGUGCACCACUAUUAGAGGUCUGACCUACAGAAGUCUCCACGGUUUUGUGCUAGCCGUGAAAUGUUUUUGGCCACAUAACUUAUUCAACUAGGUACCUCCGCUGCUCUGCGACCACGAGAAGCUCCAUGCCUUGGUGAGAUUCUCUCUUACCUAUGCCUACAAGGUGUUUGAUGAAAAUCCAAGCAAGCUGCAAAGAAUAUUCAUCUAUGAAAGGCAUGCAAGAGGGCAAGGAACCCUGAAGCUGGUGGUCCGGGAUCCUUUGUUUAAUGGUGACUGAAUCGUUGGAGAUGCAUUUUACCAUCAUUUUGUA
This 625-nucleotide ribosomal RNA is filed under the name Triticum aestivum (bread wheat). RNAcentral describes it as "partial small subunit ribosomal RNA". The record is from RNAcentral. Lineage: Eukaryota; Viridiplantae; Streptophyta; Magnoliopsida; Poales; Poaceae.